AGUUUGAUCCUGGCUCAGAUUGAACGCUGGCGGCAGGCCUAACACAUGCAAGUCGAGCGGUAGCACAGGGAGCUUGCUCCUGGGUGACGAGCGGCGGACGGGUGAGUAAUGUCUGGGAAACUGCCUGAUGGAGGGGGAUAACUACUGGAAACGGUAGCUAAUACCGCAUAACGUCGCAAGACCAAAGAGGGGGACCUUCGGGCCUCUUGCCAUCAGAUGUGCCCAGAUGGGAUUAGCUAGUAGGUGGGGUAAUGGCUCACCUAGGCGACGAUCCCUAGCUGGUCUGAGAGGAUGACCAGCCACACUGGAACUGAGACACGGUCCAGACUCCUACGGGAGGCAGCAGUGGGGAAUAUUGCACAAUGGGCGCAAGCCUGAUGCAGCCAUGCCGCGUGUAUGAAGAAGGCCUUCGGGUUGUAAAGUACUUUCAGCGAGGAGGAAGGCAUUGUGGUUAAUAACCACAGUGAUUGACGUUACUCGCAGAAGAAGCACCGGCUAACUCCGUGCCAGCAGCCGCGGUAAUACGGAGGGUGCAAGCGUUAAUCGGAAUUACUGGGCGUAAAGCGCACGCAGGCGGUCUGUCAAGUCGGAUGUGAAAUCCCCGGGCUCAACCUGGGAACUGCAUUCGAAACUGGCAGGCUAGAGUCUUGUAGAGGGGGGGUAGAAUUCCAGGUGUAGCGGUGAA
Molecule: ribosomal RNA, 685 nt
Filed under: uncultured bacterium
Lineage: Bacteria
Description: bacterial SSU rRNA
Rfam family: Bacterial small subunit ribosomal RNA
Source: RNAcentral